AAUAGAUACCCUGGUAGUCCACGCCGUAAACGAUGUCGACUUGGAGGUUGUGCCCUUGAGGCGUGGCUUCCGGAGCUAACGCGUUAAGUCGACCGCCUGGGGAGUACGGCCGCAAGGUUAAACUCAAAUGAAUUGACGGGGGCCCGCACAAGCGGUGGAGCAUGUGGUUUAAUUCGAUGCAACGCGAAGAACCUUACCUACUCUUGACAUCCAGAGAACUUAGCAGAGAUGCUUUGGUGCCUUCGGGAACUCUGAGACAGGUGCUGCAUGGCUGUCGUCAGCUCGUGUUGUGAAAUGUUGGGUUAAGUCCCGCAACGAGCGCAACCCUUAUCCUUUGUUGCCAGCGAUUCGGUCGGGAACUCAAAGGAGACUGCCAGUGAUAAACUGGAGGAAGUGGGAUGACGUCAAGUCAUCAUGGCCCUUACGAGUAGGGCUACACACGUGCUACAAUGGCAUAUACAAAGAGAAGCGACCUCGCGAGAGCAAGCGGACCUCAUAAAGUAUGUCGUAGUCCGGAUUGG
Molecule: ribosomal RNA, 521 nt
Filed under: uncultured bacterium
Lineage: Bacteria
Description: bacterial SSU rRNA
Rfam family: Bacterial small subunit ribosomal RNA
Source: RNAcentral